RNAcentral lists this ribosomal RNA (1066 nucleotides) under Triticum aestivum (bread wheat). RNAcentral's name for it is "partial small subunit ribosomal RNA". Lineage: Eukaryota; Viridiplantae; Streptophyta; Magnoliopsida; Poales; Poaceae. The record is from RNAcentral.
AUGGUGAGCAGCGGCGACCCCGGAGUAUUUGGCGAGGCAGGCAUCGGGCCGGAGAUCCGCCGCGUCCACGACUGGGUUCCCGAGGGGAUGGAGUUGCGGUUUGCUUUCAUGGUGCACAUUAGAAGGGACCGGUACAUGUUCGAUGCAAAGGAUAAGAAGAAAUACCAAGGAGGUUUUGAUUAUCGGUUGCCAAUGGCUAGUAAUUGGAGUUUCAGACAAUUUGGGGAGAAUUGGGUGACAGUUAGUAAUGAUGAAGAGCUAGCUACCAUGUUUGUUAGGCAUAAAGAGAAACAUAAUUUUCAUGUGAGGCUGCAAGUUGAUGUGCUUGAGCAGGCAUUUGGACCUAGGAUGGCGGGUGCAACAUCUCGGGGAGAAUCAAGUCGUCGUAAUGGCAUCUCUAGCCAGAACAGUUCAGUUGGUGCACGGCGACGUGGUGGCUCGACAAGUGUGGGCAACAGCAGUAGGGUCCCCCUUGAAGUGGAGCCUGAUGGCUACAAUUCUGGGGUUGAUGAAGAGAAGUUAUAUUCUGAUGUUAUUCAGAAUUUACGAUGGGCACCUCAGGCUGAAAACCAAGAUGAGGCUCACAAUGCAGUCCGUGUGGAUGAUGACGCGAUGGGUGAGGACGAAGACCUUGCAGCUGUUGAAUGGGACCCUUUGAACCCUCAAAUGAAAGAAGGUACAGUUUUUGCAUCCAUGAAUGAGUGUAGAAAUGCACUUGUGACAUACUGCAUCAAGGUAGAACGUACUUUCAAAGUUGACAAGAGCGAUCAAGUACGUUACAGAGUGCACUGUCCGACUGAGGGUUGUCCAUGGAGGCUGCUUGCAGCUAAAAUGCGGAAUAGCACUAAUGUUCAGGUCAAAGUGAAUCCUUUUAAGCACACAUGCCAGGAAUCAACCCUUAGGAAGGAUACAAUCAGUAGAGCCAAGUCAAGAUGGGUGGCAGAAGAAGUAAAAAAGUGGGUGAAAGAAAACCAGCAAGUGGGUCCAAAGGAAUUGCAGAAGAACAUCAAAGAUAAGUUCAAGAUAGAUUUACCAUACAUGAGGUUGUUCAAUGGUAAACAACAUG